This 274-nucleotide ribosomal RNA is filed under the name uncultured bacterium. Its description in RNAcentral is "partial 16S ribosomal RNA". It matches the Rfam family "Bacterial small subunit ribosomal RNA", at positions 523 to 796 of the family's 1533-position model. The record is from RNAcentral.
AUACGGAGGGUGCGAGCGUUAAUCGGAAUUACUGGGCGUAAAGGGUGCGUAGGCGGUUUGAUAAGUCGGAUGUGAAAGCCCCGGGCUUAACCUGGGAAUGGCAUUCGAUACUGUCAGGCUAGAGUAUGUCAGAGGUUGGCGGAAUUCCUGGUGUAGCGGUGAAAUGCGUAGAUAUCAGGAGGAACACCAGUGGCGAAGGCGGCUAACUGGGGCAAUACUGACGCUGAGGCACGAAAGCGUGGGGAGCAAACAGGAUUAGAAACCCCAGUAGUCC